UCCGUAGGUGAACCUGCGGAGGGAUCAUUACACAAAUAUGAAGGCGGGCUGGAACCUCUCGGGGUUACAGCCUUGCUGAAUUAUUCACCCUUGUCUUUUGCGUWCUUCUUGUUUCCUUGGUGGGUUCGCCCACCACUAGGACAAACAUAAACCUUUUGUAAUUGCAAUCAGCGUCAGUAACAAAUUAAUAAUUACAACUUUCAACAACGGAUCUCUUGGUUCUGGCAUCGAUGAAGAACGCAGCGAAAUGCGAUAAGUAGUGUGAAUUGCAGAAUUCAGUGAAUCAUCGAAUCUUUGAACGCACAUUGCGCCCUUUGGUAUUCCAAAGGGCAUGCCUGUUCGAGCGUCAUUUGUACCCUCAAGCUUUGCUUGGUGUUGGGCGUCUUGUCUCUAGCUUUGCUGGAGACUCGCCUUAAAGUAAUUGGCAGCCGGCCUACUGGUUUCGGAGCGCAGCACAAGUCGCACUCUMWAGGUCAGCAAAGGUCUAGCAUCCAUUAAGCCUUUUUUUCAACUUUUGACCUCGGAUCAGGUAGGGAUACCCGCUGAACUUAAGCAUAUCAAUAAGCGGAGGAA
RNAcentral lists this ribosomal RNA (573 nucleotides) under Alternaria sp. E-000535675. RNAcentral's name for it is "eukaryotic LSU rRNA". The stretch from base 196 to 349 matches the Rfam family "5.8S ribosomal RNA". The record is from RNAcentral. Lineage: Eukaryota; Fungi; Ascomycota; Dothideomycetes; Pleosporales; Pleosporaceae.